ACUCCUACGGGAGGCAGCAGUGGGGAAUCUUGGACAAUGGGCGCAAGCCUGAUCCAGCCAUGCCGCGUGAGUGAUGAAGGCCCUAGGUCGUAAAGCUCUUUCGCCUGUGAAGAUAAUGACGGUAGCAGGUAAAGAAACCCCGGCUAACUCCGUGCCAGCAGCCGCGGUAAUACGGAGGGGUUAGCGUUGUUCGGAAUUACUGGGGCGUAAAGCGCGCGUAGGCGGAUUAGUCAGUCAGAGGUGAAAUCCCCGGGGCUCAACCCCGGAACUGCCUUUGAUACUGCUAGUCUUGAGUUCGAGAGAGGUAAGUGGAAUUCCGAGUGUAGAGGUGAAAUUCGUAGAUAUUCGGAGGAACACCAGUGGCGAAGGCGGCUUACUGGCUCGAUACUGACGCUGAGGUGCGAAAGUGUGGGGAGCAAACAGGAUUAGAUACCCUGGUAGCGACUGA
This 448-nucleotide ribosomal RNA is filed under the name uncultured bacterium. RNAcentral's name for it is "bacterial SSU rRNA". It matches the Rfam family "Bacterial small subunit ribosomal RNA", at positions 335 to 799 of the family's 1533-position model. The record is from RNAcentral.